UCCGUAGGUGGGUAAUUAAGUCAGAGGUGAAAUCCCACAGCUUAACUGUGGAACUGCCUUAGAUACUGGUUAUCUUGAGUUUUAGUGAAGUAGAUAGAAUGUGUAGUGUAGCGGUGAAAUGCAUAGAUAUUACACAGAAUACCGAUUGCGAAGGCAGUCUACUAACUAACAACUGACGCUAAUGGACGAAAGCGUGGGGAGCGAACAGGAUUAGAUACCCUGGUAGUCC
This 229-nucleotide ribosomal RNA is filed under the name uncultured bacterium. Its description in RNAcentral is "partial 16S ribosomal RNA". It matches the Rfam family "Bacterial small subunit ribosomal RNA", at positions 568 to 796 of the family's 1533-position model. The record is from RNAcentral.